CCGGCAAACGGGUGCGGAACACGUACGCAACUUACCCAUAACUGGGGGAUAGCCCGGGGAAACCCGGAUUAAUACCUCGUAAGAUAAUGGAGUGGCAUCACUUUAUUAUUAUAGCUCCGGCGGUUAUGGAUGGGCGUGCGGCUGAUUAGGUAGUUGGUGCGGGUAACGGCCCACCAAGCCUGCGAUCAGUAACUGGUGUGAGAGCACGACCAGUCACACGGGCACUGAGACACGGGCCCG
This 240-nucleotide ribosomal RNA is filed under the name uncultured bacterium. RNAcentral describes it as "partial 16S ribosomal RNA". It matches the Rfam family "Bacterial small subunit ribosomal RNA", at positions 95 to 334 of the family's 1533-position model. The record is from RNAcentral.